AUAGCAUCCUAAUGAAUGUCUCCAAGAGUCCAACUUAUCUUUAUAUAUAUAUAUAAACUUGUCUAUGGCUGUGAAAUGAACACACUCUAUUUGGCUGUGAAAUGAUUGAUUGUGGAUUAACUUGUCUUUACCCUUCCAAGACAAUAAAGGAAACUUCCUAAGAACUAAAGCUUGGGUAGGGGAAGGCAUGGAGAUGGUGGAAUAUUGAUUUAAGUUAUAUAUUUUAUAGUGUCGUUUGGUAUAUGGGCGGAGCCACUUUAGAUAGUUUAAUGCACGUUAUGCGCCAAAAUUAUGUGGUGUACAAAAGUAUAUUAUGAGUGUUAUAUUUACUUUUGUAUACUCAUAAUACAAUUGAAAAGAAAAUUUAUAUAAUUUUUGUCAAUUUCUGGCUCCACUACUGAUCUGAUAGAGUG
Molecule: long non-coding RNA, 413 nt
Filed under: Solanum tuberosum (potato)
Lineage: Eukaryota; Viridiplantae; Streptophyta; Magnoliopsida; Solanales; Solanaceae
Description: long non-coding RNA (STUB_LNC008781)
Source: RNAcentral